RNAcentral lists this ribosomal RNA (253 nucleotides) under uncultured bacterium. RNAcentral describes it as "partial 16S ribosomal RNA". It matches the Rfam family "Bacterial small subunit ribosomal RNA", at positions 524 to 776 of the family's 1533-position model. The record is from RNAcentral.
UACGGGGGGAGCAAGCGUUGUUCGGAUUUACUGGGCGUAAAGCGCGCGUAGGCGGCCCGGUAAGUCCGUUGUGAAAGUCAAAGGCUCAACCUUUGAACGCCGAUGGAUACUGCCGGGCUAGAGUCCGGAAGAGGCGAGUGGAAUUCCUGGUGUAGCGGUGGAAUGCGCAGAUAUCAGGAGGAACACCAAUAGCGAAGGCAGCUCGCUGGGACGGUACUGACGCUGAGACGCGAAAGCGUGGGGAGCAAACAGG